RNA transcript from Brassica rapa (field mustard), 4825 nucleotides. RefSeq lists it as uncharacterized. The record is from RefSeq and is a predicted model, not a curated record. NCBI's taxonomy places the organism in Eukaryota, Viridiplantae, Streptophyta, Magnoliopsida, Brassicales, Brassicaceae.
CGUUUUCUUUUCCUCUUUAACCCAUUUAACUGAAAUAAGAAAAUAAAACACAUCUAUUAAAUAAUAGAAACAACAAGAUUUUUAUUAAAAACUACACAAAGUUUGGAGGUCAUUAACGCACAACAAUAAACCCUAAAAUUUAUAAAAAAGUUGAACGGGAGGUGGGCGAUAGAGAUAGAGAUUGUUAACCUGAUUGGAAGACCAGGGAACCGUACUCAUCGAUUCUCUGUGGUCAAAGAUGAUAAAGUAAAUCAAAUUCUUUUGUUGGUUGUUGUGUUUUCACAUUAUUUUGUCUUAACUUUACGAGUUUAGUGGUCAUCUCACGUGAGUCACCACACUCUGUAUGAGUCCAUAUUUCUUUUGCCUUUCUUUUAAUGCUUCUAGAGUUUUAGUGGCCAAGAAUCUUUGUCGUGUGUCACUUUUUUGAUCAAAAGUUUAGUCUUUAUCUUAUAAGUAUAACACAUUUGUCAAGAACAUUGACUUAUACAUAAUUUAUCUAUGUUGAUGCAGGACAAGUUUCUUUAGACUAUAUGUGGGUGGAUACUGGACUUCAAACGGUUUAUAUAUUGGUGGUGAUAUAAGAUGAUGUAAAGUAGAGUUUGAAAGUCCAAGUGUAUCAAUGCUAGUAGGUAUGGUUCAGAAUGAAGGUUUUGCAGAUAAUAUGAGUAAAUUUUCAUAUUUUCCAUCAAGAGAAGAUAAUAGUCGGAAGGAAUUGUGUGGGGAUGCCGAUGUUGCGGAAAUGAUUAAGUGCACUCAUGAAUUGGAAAGUAUGAAUCUGUAUGUUGUUAGGGAUGAUGAUCCAUAUCUGGAAGAUGUGCUUGUUGGAGAAGAGGAAGAAGAAGAAGAACCUGAUGAUGAACCUACUGACUUUUACCGUGAUGAUUAUGCUGAGACUGAUGAUUCAGAUGAUGAUGGCAAUCAAAGUUCUUUUUUUGUUGGUCAAGCAUUUUUCUCCAAAGAAAGUUGCAAGAAAGCGAUUGAGAAGUAUGCUAUCAAAGAGAAGGUCAAUAUCCGUUUUCAAAAAUCUGAAAGUAAGAAAUUAGCUGCAGCAUGUGUACAAGAUUGUUGUAGUUGGAGGAUAUAUGCGUCAGUGAAUAGCCGGUCUACUAAUAUGGUUGUGAGAUCCUACAUUUGCACUCACACUUGUUAUCCAACAGGUGUAGUGAAAUUAUAUAGUGCACCUAAGAUAGCAUCUGAUUUUCUGAAUGAGUUCAGGACUAAUCAAAAGUUGAGUGCGGAUCAGAUGAUGCAAAGGUUGCUAAUCCAAGGUCUCCGGGUUCCAAAAUCAAAAUGCCAGAGUGCAAGACAAAUCAUGUUACACAUAAUUAGUGAUGAAUAUGCUGAGCAGUUCACUAGGAUGUUUGAUUAUGCAGAAGAGCUUCGUGAGUCAAAUCCUGGUUCAACCGUUAUAUUAGGGACAAAGGAUAAGGUUUUUGAAAAGUUCUACACAUGCUUUGAAGCUCAAAAAAGUGGAUGGAAAAGUGCAUGUAGACGUGUAAUUCAUUUGGAUGGAACGUUUCUUAAAGGACGGAUGAAAGGACAACUCUUGACUGCUGUGGGAAGGACGGAUGGAACGUUUCCACGUGCUUAUCAUUAUUCUGUUUUUUUUCUUGUUGUAGAGCAUUUUUUAAUGAUCUAACAAAGUCUGCUGCCGUAGAAAACAACCAUAGCGAGUCCUAUAACGCUGUGCUAAAAGAUGCUCGACGGAAACCAGUGGUCGCAUUGCUAGAGGACAUAAGGAGACAUGUUAUGUCCAGUAACAUGUUAAAAAUUAAAGAGAUGCAUAAUGCUACUGGGCUGAUCACACCAAAGGCAAGAGCUGUGAUGGAAAAGCGAAAAAAAAAUCUUAAGUGGUGUCAUCCCCUUCCUUCAGGAAGAGGAUGGUAUGAGGUGGAUCAUGGUAGAAAUAAAUAUCGAGUGUAUGUUCGAGGUGCUGUUUCUUGUACUUGCAGGGCAUAUGACGUGAGUGGCAUACCAUGUUGCCAUAUUAUGUCUGCUAUGUGGACUGAAUAUGGAGAAACAAAGCUACCAGAAACAGUUGUCUCUGAUUGGUAUUCAGUUGAGAAGUGGAAGCUUUGUUAUAGUUCGUUGCUUCGUCCUGUGAACGGGAUGCAAUUGUGGAAAACUCACACUGAUGUUGUAGUUAUGCCUCCUCCGGACAGGAUCAUGCCAGGAAGACCAAAAAACAAUGAUAGAAUCCGUGAGACAGCUGAAGUUCUUCCAUCGCAAGCUACGUCUGCACAUGAAAAAGUUCAAAUGACCUGCAGCAACUGUCAACAAGUUGGACAUAAUAUACGGUCAUGUAAGCGUGAAGCUGUGCCUAAACCAACUAAGAAACCUCGAGGAAGGCCGAGGAAAAAACAGAAGACAAUGGCUGAAGAAAAUGUCACCACUCAGCCAACACAAUCUUCCAUAAUUUCUUAGAAGAUAAUUCCCGAUUUAUUUUUUUACGUUGGCUUUUUGUGAAGUUCAUUUGCUUUGGUAAAACCAAGUUACACUACAAUAUCCUCUGUUUUUUUGGGCAAAAUACAGUACUCUGUUUCUUUGGUAAAAUAAGAUGUGCUGCUUUUUUUGGUAAAAUACAGUUCUCUGUUUUGGUGAUAAAUUUAUGUUAUCUGGAUAUAUAUUGCAAGCAUCCAAAGUACGUGUGCCUUAGAUAAAUAAAAAAACUUGCUGUUUUUGUACUAAUAUAGAUGUCUCGUUGUUUUUUCUAGUAAAAUGAUAUAUGGACAAAAAAAUUGUUUAAGUUUUAACGUCUCUUUAGACGGAGGGUUAUGUUUUCUAACAGAUUCAAGUUAAGGAUUUAUUUCAGUUUUAAAAUACUUGAGGGUUUUAAAAUGGAUGACAUUAUAGUUGAGGGUUUGUUUCAUUAAAUUCCCUCACAAUUGCUAUUAAAUUUAAAUUUUCCAUGUAAUUUCGUUCAUCAAUUACUAUUAAGAUUUUCCAUGUAAUUUCAUUCAUGACUGACUAAGCAAAUUCUUCAAAAAAUUCAAUGAUAGUAGCAAUCUCUUAUAAAUAUGUGUCUAUUUUCGACUUGUGGAUAUAUAUAUAGAAUAAAAUGAUUGUGACUUCUCUAUAUAUUUUUUUUGUAAUAAACUAGUUUCUUAUGUGUUGUGUUGCCGGUAAAAUUGUUAAUUUUAGUGAAUUAAAAAUAAUAUAUCUAAUUGAUAUUAUUAAUUUUUGUUUAUUGAUUCAUGUUAAUCCAAUUUUAAUUUAGAUUAUUAAGAUGUAUAUAUAUUUUGAUAUAUAAUAUGAUUUCAUAAAAAAAGAAAAUUUUUGCAAAAAACCUUGAUAUUGAAAAAAAGAUCUUCCUUUCAAAACAUUAUGUUAAGCAAUAUAAUGUUAUAUAUUUUCAAGAUUAAAACAUGUUUUCCUUAUAUCUAUACAUUUUCUUAGAUGAUUACAAAAAUAAUAUAAAACCAGUUACCUUCAGUUGACUAAAAGUAUUUUAUGAUUACUAUUAUUGAGAUGAUUCAUUAGAUUUUGCAUAUUAAUUUUUCAUUAAAACUAUUAUCCACACUUUCUUUACAUGUUUAUUAGAAUAAAAAAUAAAAAUAUACUAUAAAAAUUAAAAAAAAAAUUACUUAUAUAACAUAAUUUUCAAAAACAAAUCUUAAAAAAUGAUAUUAUUUUAUUUUUAAAAAAUAUUUAAACCAAGAUUUUAAAAUACUUAUUUAUCAUAAGCCUAUGUUUAUCAAAUACUUUUAAUAAAAUAAAAGUAUUAUACUUAACCAUAUCAAAAAAUAUUUGUUUUUGCUUAAUAUUUAUUUUUGGUUUUAAUUAACUAUUCUUUAUAUUUUAAAUUCAACAUUUACAAAAAAAAAUACAAGCAAAUCAAAUUCAUAUGUUUAGUAUUAUUUAAAAUAAAUUUUAAAAUAUUAUUGGUAUAUUUAUUUAGUUAUUUUCUAUUUAAUUUCAAUAUAUAUAUAUAUGUUUUUAAUAUAUUAAGGUAUACAUAGUUUUAUUAUUUAAGGUAACAAAUUAACCUGAAUUAAAAUAAGAAACUAUUCAAAAUUUUAUAUGUUUAGAUCAAAAAACGAUUAUAGUUGAAUACAAUUAAUUAUAUGAAGUCUAAUACAUCUAAAUAAUAACUAAACUAACUAGAUAUUAUAUAUUUAAAAUUAUCUGUGUAAUUAAUAUAACAAAUAAUUUUAAAACUAAGUUUAGAUCCGGUAAUUUUAAGGUUGGGCGGGUUUGGACUGCCGGCUUCAGUCCUAAUUGACAUCUCUACUCUAAUUUAUUUAGAAAAUAUCUAAUAAAACAAUCAGCCAUUACUAACUAAUGGAAAACCCAAAUAUCUUUGGAGAGGAGUAAGAUAUUAAUGAUGAGAAAUGAGAGUCAUGCUUCUUGUCUCAUGUCGGUGACCUUGACCCGGUUCCUACCAAAGCAACUUUUAAUUCUUUAAACAAAACUGCCAUGGGUCAAGUUGCUUAAUCACGUCGUAUAAAAUUUAUGUAUCUUUUUUCUUUUGUCAACGCAUAAAUAAAUAUUAACGUUGGGUUAGAAUCAUUAUUAUUCUUUCUAUAAUAAUUGUUUCUGUUGUUACACACGAAUUAUUGUUGUUGAUAGUUAAACGAUUUAUAAUUGAAAAAAAAAUAUAAUAGUAAAGCUCAUGACCAAUCAUAGUGCAAAAACCCAUUUAGCAGUUAAAUUUCAUUGGGCUAUAGCCCAGCACUCCUAUUGAAGAGCCGGUCUUGACAAGCAUGCUGUUUGGUUUAGUCGGAGACAUUGGAAGAAGACAACAGAUAACUUGACAAUUUAAAGCAAAAACUCAGAGACAAAGAGGAUGAAAAAGAUUCGAACAGUAAGAUAAAGCCGGAAACAA